This 253-nucleotide ribosomal RNA is filed under the name uncultured bacterium. Its description in RNAcentral is "partial 16S ribosomal RNA". It matches the Rfam family "Bacterial small subunit ribosomal RNA", at positions 524 to 776 of the family's 1533-position model. The record is from RNAcentral.
UACGUAGGGUGCAAGCGUUGUCCGGAAUUAUUGGGCGUAAAGAGCUCGUAGGCGGUUUGUCGCGUCGUAUGUGAAAACCCGGGGCUCAACCCCGGGCCUGCAUUCGAUACGGGCAGACUAGAGUUCGGUAGGGGAGUCUGGAAUUCCUGGUGUAGCGGUGAAAUGCGCAGAUAUCAGGAGGAACACCGGUGGCGAAGGCGGGACUCUGGGCCGAUACUGACGCUGAGGAGCGAAAGCGUGGGGAGCGAACAGG